Molecule: transfer RNA, 66 nt
Filed under: Erianthus versicolor
Lineage: Eukaryota; Metazoa; Arthropoda; Insecta; Orthoptera; Chorotypidae
Description: tRNA-Glu
Source: RNAcentral
AUUUAUAUAGUUUAAAAAUAAACAAUACAUUUUCAAUGUAUAGAUGAUAAUAAUUAUUUAUAAAUU